This 430-nucleotide long non-coding RNA is filed under the name Heterocephalus glaber (naked mole-rat). RNAcentral describes it as "lncRNA (ENSHGLG00000042869.1)". Lineage: Eukaryota; Metazoa; Chordata; Mammalia; Rodentia; Bathyergidae. The record is from RNAcentral.
CUAGACUUGCUCCUCAGCAGCGGGGCGCUGCGCGACGGGGUCGGAGCUGACUCGCAGCAGCAGGAAAUCCCUCCGGUCGCCGCGACGCCUAGCCCCGGCUCGGCGCCCGCGUGGGAUGCUGCAGCGCUCGCGCUGGCCCUGAGAGCUGCUGCACCGAAGGCCGGCGACCAUGGCAGCGCUCCCGCCGCCCGCGUCCCCCGUCCGCGCCCGCGCCCUCCUGCUCUCCCUAGCCGGGGCUCUGCUCGCGCCCCGCGCGGCCCGAGGAACAAGCCUAUGGGACCAUGUAGGCGCUUAUGAAGUUGCCAGUGCUGCUCUUCUGAAUGGAGACCUCGGGACUCUGGGGAGGAACAGUGAGUCAAAGCUUGCUUUCUGUUAAGUCAUGGUGUCACUCCCAUCGUCCAACCUGCCAGUCAGUUAGAGAAAGCAAGAG